UAAGACGGAGGGGGCUAGCGUUGUUCGGAAUGACUGGGCGUAAAGGGCGCGUAGGCGGCAAAUCAAGUCAGGUGUGAAAGCCUUGGGCUCAACCCAAGAAUUGCGCUUGAUACUGGUUAGCUAGAGGAUGGAAGAGAAAAGCGGAAUUCCUAGUGUAGAGGUGAAAUUCGUAGAUAUUAGGAAGAACACCAGAGGCGAAGGCGGCUUUUUGGUCCAUAUCUGACGCUGAGGCGCGAAAGCGUGGGGAGCAAACAGG
This 256-nucleotide ribosomal RNA is filed under the name uncultured archaeon. RNAcentral describes it as "partial 16S ribosomal RNA". It matches the Rfam family "Bacterial small subunit ribosomal RNA", at positions 521 to 776 of the family's 1533-position model. The record is from RNAcentral.